This 898-nucleotide ribosomal RNA is filed under the name Lactobacillus sp. 7.8.17. RNAcentral describes it as "bacterial SSU rRNA". It matches the Rfam family "Bacterial small subunit ribosomal RNA", at positions 56 to 917 of the family's 1533-position model. The record is from RNAcentral. Lineage: Bacteria; Bacillati; Bacillota; Bacilli; Lactobacillales; Lactobacillaceae.
UGCAGUCGAACGAGCUUCCGUUGAAUGACGUGCUUGCACUGAUUUCAACAAUGAAGCGAGUGGCGAACUGGUGAGUAACACGUGGGGAAUCUGCCCAGAAGCAGGGGAUAACACUUGGAAACAGGUGCUAAUACCGUAUAACAACAAAAUCCGCAUGGAUUUUGUUUGAAAGGUGGCUUCGGCUAUCACUUCUGGAUGAUCCCGCGGCGUAUUAGUUAGUUGGUGAGGUAAAGGCCCACCAAGACGAUGAUACGUAGCCGACCUGAGAGGGUAAUCGGCCACAUUGGGACUGAGACACGGCCCAAACUCCUACGGGAGGCAGCAGUAGGGAAUCUUCCACAAUGGACGAAAGUCUGAUGGAGCAAUGCCGCGUGAGUGAAGAAGGGUUUCGGCUCGUAAAACUCUGUUGUUAAAGAAGAACACCUUUGAGAGUAACUGUUCAAGGGUUGACGGUAUUUAACCAGAAAGCCACGGCUAACUACGUGCCAGCAGCCGCGGUAAUACGUAGGUGGCAAGCGUUGUCCGGAUUUAUUGGGCGUAAAGCGAGCGCAGGCGGUUUUUUAAGUCUGAUGUGAAAGCCUUCGGCUUAACCGGAGAAGUGCAUCGGAAACUGGGAGACUUGAGUGCAGAAGAGGACAGUGGAACUCCAUGUGUAGCGGUGGAAUGCGUAGAUAUAUGGAAGAACACCAGUGGCGAAGGCGGCUGUCUAGUCUGUAACUGACGCUGAGGCUCGAAAGCAUGGGUAGCGAACAGGAUUAGAUACCCUGGUAGUCCAUGCCGUAAACGAUGAGUGCUAAGUGUUGGAGGGUUUCCGCCCUUCAGUGCUGCAGCUAACGCAUUAAGCACUCCGCCUGGGGGAGUACGACCGCAAGGUUGAAACUCAAAGGAAAUUGACGGG